Molecule: ribosomal RNA, 258 nt
Filed under: uncultured bacterium
Lineage: Bacteria
Description: partial 16S ribosomal RNA
Rfam family: Bacterial small subunit ribosomal RNA
Source: RNAcentral
CGGCGGACGGGUGAGUAACGCGUGGGGAACCUGCCCUAUACAGGGGGAUAACAGUUAGAAAUGACUGCUAAUACCGCAUAAGCGCACGGAGCCGCAUGGCGCUGAGUGAAAAACGAUAGUGGUAUAGGAGGGACCCGCGUCUGAUUAGGUAGUUGGUGAGGUAACGGCCCACCAAGCCGACGAUCAGUAGCCGACCUGAGAGGGUGACCGGCCACAUUGGGACUGAGACACGGCCCAAACUCCUACGGGAGGCAGCAG